CCUUUCUUUUCCAUUCUUUUCCUUUCUUUUUUUUUUCCUCCUAUAUCAGCUAAUUAGACUUUGUCAACUUGGCUUCAGAGCACAUAAUUUUUUUGCAGUCUAGACCUACCCUCACUAUUAGCGGGUACAAUUUCUAAGCCAGAAAUACCAGCCUAUAUUUUUAGCUGGGACUGGCUCCCCUGCAUGAUUUGCCACAACUGACACUUAACGUAGCUGGAGUGGAGCGGCUGUGAAUCUACUUAGUGUUGGUCUUGCAAAAGUCAGUGGAAACAGCUGAUCCCCUUAAAAAGAGAACAGAAUCAGUGUUUCACUGCACAUUUCUGCCAGUGAAACUCCUCUGCCUCAUACUAGGAUAAACUGAAGUUAGGCAGUAGUGAAUCAGACCUAAUAUGUUUAGUACUUGUAUGCUAAAUUUAUGAGGCACCCAGUGACAUUUGCCUUAUGUAUAAUGGUAGCACUCCCAGCAGGCUGAUCUAAUCAUUCAUGAGGAAUUACAGUACAGUGUUGGAGUUUAUUUAAUGCUUAAUGUUCACAACAACCUCCUGCACUGAUUCUAAUCUGGUUACUGCACACAUUGUGAAGCAGAUCUCUGCAGAGGCGCAGCAGCAGAAGAGAUCAACCACAUCCCGUGCAGCGUGGCAUGUAUCAGCAAUGCAAGGUUGUGCUGUUUCUCUGACAAGCAGAGGAAGCUGGGUUGAUUCACACACCAGAGUGAUUCCUCUCACCAAGACGCUUAGGAAUGCACCAAAGGAAACCAGGCUUUCUCUGCAGGCUUCCUCUGAGCAACAGGAUUACUGCAAGGCAAAACCAGGCCUGCGGCUGGGCCCGAAGCCACAGCAGACACAGCAGCAGCACUAGGGCCUCAGGGUUAGGCCCAGAGAGCAAGGGCGGAUGAAGCUUUGUGCAGAGAAAAAAGGAAGAUCUGUUAAAAAUGGAUAGGUCACUGCCAUUUCUACCAGAAAUUAUCAAGAUUGCUCUCCACUGCAUUGGACUUUCCUAUUGCAAUUUUACCAGAGAAAAUUCCUUGAGAAAUCAGUGGAUCACUAUUGUAGGCGGGAGCUUUCAUCACCAUAUUGAGUAAGCAACAAUGUUCAUGUCAAUCUCCUGCCUUUGGAUCAUGGAAGAAGGCAUGUGCAGAAUAAGGAUGGAUUGCCUUAGUCCUUCACCAUUAAGAGAAACAAACUAGUCUCAUGCAGUUUGGGAUGUAUGGGCAUCUGUCCCUUGCUCCUGCUGUCUUCUCAGUCUCCUCUGCCAUCUCCAGCAGGAAAGACCAUAAAAGCCUACACGCUCAGCAGGAAAUAAGACUCAAAGGCAUUUCCUACGCGCCUUCAUGUUACCCUUUCGUCUGCUCCCAAAAAACAGCAAUUGUUUAGCUUUUUUCUACUGCUGUGAUUCAACUUAGAGAUGAGUGCGUUUCAGGUCAAUAUCUGUAUACAGGACAAGAUCCCCCACUUUAUAUGGGGAAAAAGUCCUGGAAGAGGGAAUUAAAAGAUUUUCUGAGGUUUCCUGUACAGCAGUUUUCCUGGGUGGUCUUUCUGAAGAGAGGUGAUGGGGGACCAAGUAAUUUGGAGGCUGCAACCGUCUCCUUCUCUUGCAAAGCACAAGACUCACUAGGAUGUGGAAAACUUUUCCUAAUCAAGCCAAGCAUCAUCUUCUAGAUAUAGCUCUUGUUUCUGAUGCCUGUUUUCAUCAAACUGCAUGGUUCUACAUACCAUCACUUCCCUUGCAACAGUGCUCUCUAUCACAUUUACUGGAUUUUUUUUUCCCUCCUACUUUAUCAUGCUUAUCCCAUCAUUCCUAGAUAAGUAAUUCCACUCUUCAUUGGGUGUUAAUCUUUUGCAAAUAUUUACGUACACCUCUCCUCAUACCAUCACUCAGCCAGUCCCUUCAAACUUUUCUCUGAAACCCACCACAACUCUUGUAGCUGCUGUUACUCCUCUUUUCUAUGGUCACUCACUACCCUUUAGAUAACAGCCUCCACUGUUGGCCACUAUACACAUUUCUCUUUAAAACACAGAGUUUUUCUUAUAGACCUGUCCUAUCUCUGUCCUUUUUUUCCAUAA
Cygnus atratus (black swan) is the source of this 2063-nucleotide long non-coding RNA. RefSeq lists it as uncharacterized. The record is from RefSeq and is a predicted model, not a curated record. The transcript is spliced from 5 exons. Lineage: Eukaryota; Metazoa; Chordata; Aves; Anseriformes; Anatidae.